UGGGGAAUAUUGGACAAUGGGGGCAACCCUGAUCCAGCGAUGCCGCGUGGGUGAAGAAGGCCUUCGGGUUGUAAAGCCCUUUAGGUUGGGACGAAGUGCAUAUCAGGAUAAUGGGUGUGCAUUGACGGUACCGACAGAAUAAGCACCGGCAAACUCUGUGCCAGCAGCCGCGGUAAUACAGAGGGUGCGAGCGUUAAUCGGAAUUACUGGGCGUAAAGGGCGCGUAGGCGGUGAGAUGAGUGUGAUGUGAAAGCCCCGGGCUUAACCUGGGAAGCGCAUCGCAAACGAUCUGACUGGAGUAGAUGAGAGGGUGGCGGAAUUUCCGGUGUAGCGGUGAAAUGCGUAGAGAUCGGAAGGAACGUCAAUGGCGAAGGCAGCCACCUGGCAUCAUACUGACGCUGAAGCGCGAAAGCGUGGGGAUCGAACAGG
This 429-nucleotide ribosomal RNA is filed under the name uncultured bacterium. RNAcentral describes it as "bacterial SSU rRNA". It matches the Rfam family "Bacterial small subunit ribosomal RNA", at positions 355 to 776 of the family's 1533-position model. The record is from RNAcentral.